CCUACGGGCGACAGCAGUGAGGAAUAUUGGUCAAUGGACGAGAGUCUGAACCAGCCAAGUAGCGUGAAGGAUGACUGCUCUAUGGGUUGUAAACUUCUUUUAUAUGGGAAUAAAAUGUUCCACGUGUGGGAUUUUGUAUGUAUCAUAUGAUUAAGGAUCGGCUAACUCCGUGCCAGCAGCCGCGGUAAUACGGAGGGUCCGAGCGUUAUCCGGAUUUAUUGGGUGUAAAGGGAGCGUAGGUGGAUUGUUAAGUCAGUUGUGAAAGUUUGCGGCUCAACCGUAAAAUUGCAGUUGAAACUGGCAGUCUUGAGUACAGUAGAGGUGAGCGGAAUUCGUGGUGUAGCGGUGAAAUGCUUAGAUAUCACGAAGAACUCCGAUUGCGAAGGCAGUUCACUGGACUGCAACUGACACUGAGGCUCGAAAGUGUGGGUAUCAAACAGGAUUAGAUACCCUUGUAGUC
This 460-nucleotide ribosomal RNA is filed under the name uncultured bacterium. RNAcentral's name for it is "partial 16S ribosomal RNA". It matches the Rfam family "Bacterial small subunit ribosomal RNA", at positions 338 to 795 of the family's 1533-position model. The record is from RNAcentral.